RNAcentral lists this ribosomal RNA (253 nucleotides) under uncultured bacterium. RNAcentral's name for it is "partial 16S ribosomal RNA". It matches the Rfam family "Bacterial small subunit ribosomal RNA", at positions 524 to 776 of the family's 1533-position model. The record is from RNAcentral.
UACGUAGGGGGCUAGCGUUGUCCGGAAUCAUUGGGCGUAAAGCGCGCGUAGGCGGUCAGGAAAGUCCGGUGUGAAAGUCAUAGGCUCAACCUAUGGAUGCCGCUGGAAACUGCCUGACUUGAGUCCGGAAGGGGCGAGUGGAAUUCCUGGUGUAGCGGUGAAAUGCGCAGAUAUCAGGAGGAACACCAAUGGCGAAGGCGGCUUCCUGGACCGACACUGACGCUGAGGCGCGAAAGCUAGGGGAGCAAACGGG